AGUGCCCGAAUCGCGGCGUACCUGGGCGCCGCUCCCCACCUCAGUGCCCGAAUCGCGGCGUACCGGCUCCAGCUUGGGAGGAGGCGGCUCUGAGGUGGUGGAGCCCAAGCCGUGACCCGUCACCGUGUCAUCUAGAACGUGGCCGUGCCGCAGGUGUGUGCUGGCUGCUUUGCUCAGGCCUGCACCAGGCUCAGCUGGGGCCUUCAGCCGGGGAAAAGCAUCCAGGAGGAGCGGCUGGGAUGCUCCAGGCUGGCAGUCAGCGGAGAGCUGGACACGAGAGAAAAGAAAACAUGCAGAAGGAGGGAAAACCAAAGAAGCCUCAGUGGAAAUGAAAGACCAUGGACUGCGGAACAUUAAGGAGGAUGCAGACACGACUCUUCAUGUUCCCAGAGUUUUUAACUAAAAGGAAUUUAUGAAAAAAAACCCCUCACCCAACCUCACAGACCUUUCGACAGACAGACUUGGGCUGAAUAAUGACAGAGCAACAGCAAUCAGAAACCCAGGAUAAACUACAAACUCUAAGGUCCUCCACUGUGCUGUCAGGAUCAGCAGGACUCAGUGCACACCUGGAACAGACACUGCCCACUGAUUUUCAAGCAGACGUCAGGGCAUUCAGCUCCAGGCAAGUUCUAUUUCCACCAAUAUGUAUAACUGUCAGUGUUGCCUCACUUCACAGCCAGCACAAGCAGCAACCAUCAGCUUCCCCACAUGU
This is a non-coding RNA of Taeniopygia guttata (zebra finch), 712 nucleotides long. NCBI's taxonomy places the organism in Eukaryota, Metazoa, Chordata, Aves, Passeriformes, Estrildidae. The record is from RefSeq and is a predicted model, not a curated record.